GAGGGUGUAGCUCAAGUGGCAGAGCACACGCUUAGCAUGCGUGAGGCCAUCGGUUCAAUCCCCAGUACCUCCC
This 73-nucleotide transfer RNA is filed under the name Camelus bactrianus (Bactrian camel). It matches the Rfam family "tRNA". From Rfam's summary of the family: Transfer RNA (tRNA) molecules are approximately 80 nucleotides in length. Their secondary structure includes four short double-helical elements and three loops (D, anti-codon, and T loops). Further hydrogen bonds mediate the characteristic L-shaped molecular structure. tRNAs have two regions of fundamental functional importance: the anti-codon, which is responsible for specific mRNA codon recognition, and the 3' end, to which the tRNAs corresponding amino acid is attached (by aminoacyl-tRNA synthetases). tRNAs cope with the degeneracy of the genetic code in two manners: having more than one tRNA (with a specific anti-codon) for a particular amino acid; and 'wobble' base-pairing, i.e. permitting non-standard base-pairing at the 3rd anti-codon position. The record is from Rfam by way of RNAcentral. RNAcentral also lists the same sequence under 2 other names. Lineage: Eukaryota; Metazoa; Chordata; Mammalia; Artiodactyla; Camelidae.